GGUUGAGCCGAUGCCGGGUGUUCGGACCUUUAAGGCCCCCCGGCGGAGGCAACACACCUCUUUGGCCUCUGCUUCACGUAGACGGCACCCCCGGACUGACCCACCCGGGGGAAAUCGGUAGUCGCCUUUUCCUGUCCUCCUCUCCAAUCUUCGUCUUUCUCUCUCGUCUUUUUCAUCUUUCCUGUCUUCUCAUCACUUCUCCUCACUUCCUAGUUUCGCGGCGGCAAGGGUUAACCUCGUGUAGCUAGCCAGCCUUGGUUAUGCUGUAUUUGGUUAUUCGCAACUUUCACGUACGGUGGCGCCGUCUUCCGGCGGCGGCCGGUACCAAUCGAAAGAUUAUGGCUGCCGCCCGUUCCAACCAAUCUAAAAACGUUGGCCCGUUCGCAUAGCUGGCAUAGCGUGUUGCUGUUGUCUACGCUUUUCCUCUACUUUUCGUUGAUGUUUUAGCGCAUUCGAAGCUCCAGCGGGAUCCUGAAGGACCCUUAACGUGCUCAGAAUGAGCAAACUUAGAAGCAACCGCAUUUGCUGUGUGCCGCAAUGCAAAAAUUAUGCGGUAGGUGAUGUGAGCCUUCACUCAUUUCCAACGGCUGCGUCCAUGAGGAAGAAAUGGAUUAUUAAGCUGCGGAUCGGCAAAGCCGUUACCGAAGCGAUGAAGGUUUGCAGUGCGCACUUCACGCUGGAGGACUUUUUUUGGAAUACGACAGGUGAGUGACGAUUCCGAUCACUUCAAAUCGCGAAUAGACGUACCUCCAUAAAGACGCAGGCAUAGCACCAUAUUAUAUGCAUGGAAAGAAAUAAUACAGAAUCUUAACUCAAAUAUGUUGUGGGAUGAUUGAUGUUUACGUUUUUGUCACUCGUGUCAUUGCGGCUACGUUGGAGCGCAAACAUUCUCCGUAAAGCCUUGUACCUGCUGCAAAAUUUCUUGUUCUCGAAUGCACCGCUCAUUCGUUUAAUUUGUGCUCUGCAACGUCGGCUUGACUUUACAUACAUUUUCGAACAGGGAGAUGAGUUUCUCAUUUGUGCAGAGUCAUGAGACAUUUAUCGCGGUCAGUUACUGCGACGGAAGUGCGGGUGUUCUGCUUCGAACGAGACAUAGCCAGAUUCGGGGAAGCCCAACGCAAGCAAAGAGAAAAGGCAGUUUUCAGCACCGAAGUUCAUGUACCUUUUGUUGUAGUCGCAAUUGUCUUGAGUAGAAUGGCUGGUUCACGAAUGUUCAAUUACCGGAGAUGUGAGGGGCAGCAAGUUUGGUGGCAUUCUGGGAGGCAUACUUUUGCAAUUUAUGCUGGCUUCUGUGGUCUUUUCGACUGAUUGCAGUUCAGAGAGACUAAUGCAUCCCUGUUAGUGCAUAUCGACAGUACAUGCGUUUUUUUUCCAAGACCCAGCUGUUAGGACACCACGUCGGAAGCGCUUAAAGAAGACAGCAAUUCCGUCUAGGUGCCUUCCUGUCCGGGUGUUUGACGUUGUGGAUGAAGUUUCGAAGCAAGCAUCCCAUGAAAGAUCUUUGCGGGCAUGAGCAAGAUCAUGGGCAUCUCUGUGCACAACCGAAAAUGGGCCGUCAAAUGUGCCUUUGGGGUCAUGUACAGCACAACAGCCGAACAUCGAAAGUUCGGAAAAUGUACCAACAGAGCUUGAAAGCAACCCAGUCACCGAGCUUGACCAAGGUGCCGCUAUAGCACUGCAAAGGCUGGGACAACACUGAGUGAAGCUACAAGCCUCGAACGGUCUGCAUUGGAUGCACUCCUUGCCCUCAGUGAUCGGCGUUGUCGAUGUGUUGACAUUGGCAUUCAAGUCUGCACUGAUUCAUCACCAGCCAGAAGGAACACAUUGGUUGACUUGCUCUCUACAGAUGCUGCCAUAAAAGCCUUCACAGGUGUCACUUCCCACGAUGAUCUACGUUCUGUUCCCUGCCCUGGCUAUGGCUUUUCUAGACGCACCCCAACCGCAUCCUGCCUGGCAUGUCGACUACGACGCAACUGCGUUCUACCACCCAAUGAAUGCCAGCAUCACUUCCAGACCGUUGACACCGUCCGUGUGUCCGGCAGCGCCACUGUUCCCGGCAGCGUCACUCGACUUGCGGCCGGAAUACCUAUCGCCACCAACAUCAAUUCGCCCAUCAGAUAUAAAAGAGCAGGCGCGCACGGAGGCGUUUUGUGGGCCCGGCUGCCGUGCUUCAA
This is a long non-coding RNA of Dermacentor andersoni, 2174 nucleotides long. RefSeq lists it as uncharacterized. The record is from RefSeq and is a predicted model, not a curated record. NCBI's taxonomy places the organism in Eukaryota, Metazoa, Arthropoda, Arachnida, Ixodida, Ixodidae.